GAUAAAGAAAUGAUGACAAAUAUGCUUCAAUGAUAAAGAUAAUUCAAAGAUAAUUCUUUUAUUAUCAUCAAGAUAUUAAAUGGACUUAUUCAUGGGUUUUUCAAAAUAUUAUUAUUUCUCAAUGUAUUUUCAAGCUCGUAUUUUCAAAUUCGUGAAAUAAGAUAUUCGUAGGUUCAAUGAAGGUUGAAGAAUUAAUUUGUGUAUGAGUAAUUCAAUGAUUCAUUGCUUUCAGCCUUAGAAAUGUGACCGCUGAUAAUGAAAUAUAUUUUCAUUUUAGCGUGAAACACUCAAGUUGACUUGAAUGUGUCAUGUGUUAAAAUACUUGCGCGUCUUUAGAUAGAUGUGUCGCAAACAAAUAAAUCGAUUAUUUACACACAAAUAGGUAAGAAUCUUCUUCUAAAAUAUUCAUAUUUCAAUCAUUUAUAUUAUUGCGUAUGCAAUGGCAAAUUUAAAGUUGUUUUUAAAAAAAUAAUGAUUGUUUAAAUCACUCUAACGUAAUAAAAGACGAUUUUAUCGUCUUCUCAAGAGGCGUACAUAAUUCCACGGCGGCGGCUAUUAUAUCAUAGUGCUAGCAAUGUUCACUGGCGUAUUGACAGCGUUUCAUCUCAUUGUCACUUUACUCCAGCAUUGUUCGGCGGAGAGACGAUGACGGUGCUGAGUUGUAAGCCGACGCUAUCAACCGAACGGAUGACAGCAUCGAGAUAAGAAAAUUGUUGGCAGCGAUGCCGAACGAAUAACUACUCGAAUGGAAAAGGUCGCACAGCCGCGAGUGCAGCUGCACCCGGCGACGCAUGGCCUAGCUAUAGCGAGGAGGCCGGAGGCCAGGUAGUUAUAAGCACUAGGUGCUGCUCCAAAAGUAGCCAUGGCGCACGGAUCCGCAUGCUACUUUCCUUUCAAAUAGCACGGGCCUUUUGCUUUCUUCGCGGCCUUCAGCGCGGGCAGCGAUGGCGUUGCUCGAUUUGAGCCUCGCACGUAUGCAAUCAGAGCAGAUCACGAAACUUUCGUACCUCGCGCAACGCGAGUUCUCGCGUGCUCGUAUACUUGCGGAUUAUUGAAGAUGCUAUUUUUUUUAUUCAUGAAAGGACACACAUAUGGCGCAAAAAUAUUGUUUCCACCGAACAAACUUUCGAAACUGCAAACGGAUAACUAAGUAUUUUUUCCGUCGAUUGUAAAAGCACAGUAUAGUCAUCAUAAUUUGCAGAAAUAAGCUGCAUUCAAUGUAGAUGUGAUUCGGUGAGCUAUGACGUUGUGCAUCGUCGCCGGAUUAUGUAUGACGUAUGUUUGUUUGGAACAGUCAUGCAUGCCUCUGCAUUAACCGUAAAUACUAUCGCCCGUGAUAUCAUGCGUAAUUAAUGUGUAUCGUACGCUAUAUGAAGAAUUAAUGGGUUUCUGAUCGCAAGUGUUCAUGGUACAAUUUGCACGCAUUCACGCUGACUCAUUUGUUUGCGAUGCGCAAAAAUCGAUACGUUACGCUUGCUUAUUUCGAAAGCAACAUCAGCAUGGUGUUCGAAAAUGCCAAACGGAAGUGAAAGGCGUUAAUGAUGCCUAUUGUGUCUAUUUUUAUUUGGAAUCACAGAUUUAUCUUCACAAUUAUUCAUUGAUGUUUUGUAUUGAGAAAAUAAAAAUCACGUAUACUAAAAAAAUUAUAUCAGUUUAAUGCGAUAAAAUUGACGGAAAUGAACUGCACAAGACUGACCUGCAAAAGGGACCUCAAACAAUACAAUGGGCUAAUUGCUAUUUGAAGGUUUAGCAAUAUUUCUUUUCACAACAAAACUAAAGAAUUUUGGAUAUACAAGGAUGAAUGCAGAUCCUGAAUCCGUUUUGCCCAUCCUCUGUUACGCCACUGUUCCUUCCCGUGAUUGCCGCCGUCGACGAUAUCGUCGCCGGCUGGAAACGCCGACGUAAGAAUGAGAGCACGUCCGUGUGUAUGUUGCGUAUGAAUUAAUGUCGCACAUACCGAUGUCGAGGGAGCGGAUAACGGGCGGUAGACGCGCGACACGUGAUUCUCGCAGCGCGUUGCAAUGUGUACGUAGUAAAGUGACCACCACCAAGCGUAUGUUUGUUUUCUCGCAUACCUCGUUCGUAUUCGAAAGAAUACGAGAAGAUUGAAGAUGCGAUACGGCCUAUGGAAGCUUGAUAACAGACGAGCAUAUCAAUUCACUUAUCAUCGUGAAUCACGCAUUGUUACGACGUUGAAUUGUUAUUACCCCAAUGGAAUUUUAUUAUACUUCAAAUUCCUUUAUUAGCGUAAUUAAUGUUGACUGUAGUUACAAAAUGAAAUACCAACAAUACCGUAAAUCGAAGGAUUGUCGGAGAAAAUGCAAUUUUUCAAUUCUCAAUAUUAAUGGAACAUCCUGUAUAUCAGCUUUACGAAUGAAGGAUUCUUGUUACACAAAAUCCAAGCAAUUAUUCAUACGUAAUAGUUGUAUCGUAAUCUGCCGCUAAUGCCCAUAAUUCACAAAUGAUGCAUAGAGUAAUUGAGGCAAAAAUAGAUCUGCGACUUCUCAAAAUCGCGAGAGGAGAGGAAGAGACCUUGUACCAAUUUCCACGUGUUUUCGGGCGAAACGCGUAAUUAUGGUGCGCGACGACCGCGUUCCACUGUGCUACACGCACAUUAUUCGUCAGAAAAUUAGAGAGACACGAGCGUGUACGCGGUCGUGCAUUGCGGCACGCACGGCCAAAAAUACACGGUAUUCCUCGCCAGUAAACUCGCCGUUCGACGUACUUUUUCCCGUACUUCGCCGAGAGUUCUCCUCGUCCCCUCCGUCCCUGCACUGCAGAUGCUCUAUCAUAAUAAUCGCUAUUUUGGGCCGGAGGGUCGACCGCAAGCCGCGUUAUUGUAACAGCACAGAUGUUCUUCUCGUUCCGAGUUAGAAGCAUUCGAGUAGGGGAAGGUCGAGCUCGAAUACCGCGCUCAGAGAAGACGAAUAGAUGAACUAGACGCGUCUAAAUGACGUGAAAUUGCAACAUUGCGGGUAGACAGACAGAGACAAGGAGAGGGAGCGAGAAAGAGAGAGAAACAAGGCGAGAAUACGAUGGAAGGGAGAGGAAAGAGCGAGAGAAAAGGAAAACAUUGCUGGUCAUCACGAAGGCUAUCGCAAUCGCGUCUCCGUCUCCCUCUGAUAAAGCCUAAAAUGGUAUCUUAACAACUUGGGCGACGCCAGAAAGAAAAAAUACAAAUUAUGUUGCGAGAUUCUAUCGAAUGCAUUGGCUUCGGAAAUUAAAAUUAAAGCAACACGGGUUUUUUUUAGAUCCGACUGCAUCAACAAUCUUGCUGCACUUGUUUUACGCCGCACCGUGUUGCUUUCUAGAUCACAGCCAGGGCAUAAGCAUAUAAAGGGAGAAAGGACGGGGUUGUUAUGACACAGAUAGAAAAGUUAAUCGACCAUGCUCAGCGCUAACUAACCGUAAAUAGCCAAUGCUGUUUACCGAAGAUGGAUGUCAAUUACUUUACAUUGUACCUAAUUUUUUAUUUGUUAUAGGCCUCUGAAAUAGUCUCUACAUAUCGGCAGAAAUGUUCUUAGAUUAUCGAAGGACAUUACUCACGCAGUAGGUAGCAACAAUGUGACCUGAUAAUAUAUUUUAGGUGAUUGAAAGAUACUCGUAUCUACUUGUUACGAAUGCUAUUACACGUGACAUUUCAGUAAUUAGAGAUACCGAUUGACAUUGCGGAAUACCUAUCGCGAUAUCGAUGUCACGGGACUGUAAAACGUCAACGCGCUGAAAACUUUCCUAAGAUACGUUUCGGUGGAGAGCAGCCAAACAUUGCUCUCGAGGAAGCUGGUUGUGCAUGCAGAUCAUCUGCUUCGUCAUGCAAAUGUCUCAUGAUUUUCACCGCGCUGAGAGAUAAAUUUCCGUCGACGGUUAAUUCGAUAGAAUUUACGAUCGUAUCAGCGCGUUCUUCGCAGCUUAUAUCGCGAGUAAGAAGUUGCGCGUUCCUCGAUGACGCAGAAAUUUCUUAAGGCUUCUCGUAAAAACGGGUCUAGCGAGUCUUCGUAAUACCGUGCCUAUAGGAGACCCCACAAUUGUGUAACGCAUCCACUAUGUUAUGAUGAUGGUGCAAGGCCAAACGUCCUAAAUCAUAUAACGCUCACUUGUAAGGUCACUGUGCUUUCGAGAAAUAUUAUCGAUCCAUUCACGGUUAUUUUUAGCUGAUGCGUCGUGUUCGCGCCACAUACAUAAUA
This is a non-coding RNA of Linepithema humile (Argentine ant), 4184 nucleotides long. The record is from RefSeq and is a predicted model, not a curated record. NCBI's taxonomy places the organism in Eukaryota, Metazoa, Arthropoda, Insecta, Hymenoptera, Formicidae.